RNAcentral lists this transfer RNA (90 nucleotides) under Gammaproteobacteria bacterium. RNAcentral's name for it is "tRNA-Ser". It matches the Rfam family "tRNA". Rfam says of the family: Transfer RNA (tRNA) molecules are approximately 80 nucleotides in length. Their secondary structure includes four short double-helical elements and three loops (D, anti-codon, and T loops). RNAcentral also lists the same sequence under 1 other name. Lineage: Bacteria; Pseudomonadati; Pseudomonadota; Gammaproteobacteria. The record is from RNAcentral.
GGAGAGGUGGCAGAGCGGUUGAUUGCACCGGUCUUGAAAACCGGCAGACUCUCACGAGUCUCGGGAGUUCGAAUCUCCCCCUCUCCGCCA